RNAcentral lists this ribosomal RNA (705 nucleotides) under Triticum aestivum (bread wheat). RNAcentral describes it as "partial small subunit ribosomal RNA". Lineage: Eukaryota; Viridiplantae; Streptophyta; Magnoliopsida; Poales; Poaceae. The record is from RNAcentral.
AUGCCAAGCCUUGUUCUCCCACCCGGAAUAGCAGCAAAGUAUAUCUCAAUAGGACUCAAGGAUAUACAAGAGGCGCCAAGGGAGCAGCCGAUCAAUGAGGAGCUAACCAUAACUAAAAUCGAGUCUGUGAUAAGUAUGUGGAAGAUUCCGUAUGCCAACGAGGUCCCGCCAGACCUUGAGAUUCUGAUUCGACACCUUGAAGCAGUGGUGGCUCGUCUGGGAGGAAAAGGUGGUCUUGCCACUUCCCACACAUCGGCACCCGCGCCGGUGCAAGUGUCAUCUCUGUUGGAGAAACUCUAUGCAGCUCAUGCGGGGAUCACUCAAGGACUUUGCCGCCUCGAGAAGGAAGGGCCGCGCCUAGAGGGGCGCCUUGCCGACCUCGCCUCCAUCUGCAACAGACAAAAGAAGUUGGCCGAAGAACAUCAGAUGCUUGCCAGCAAAAAUCAGCAGCUUGCUAAGGAGUACAAGGCCCUCUGUGAGAAGGAAACGGAGAUGACGGCACUGGCUGAAAAGCGCACGUGCGUCCUAGCUGACAUGAUGACUUCUAGCUCCCGCCAUCUUGAAGCUCAUGAGGAUGCAGUCCGGAGUUCGUCACAGGUGGCCGAGCCAUACACAAGACAUCGUGCGGAGGCGGUUGCCUUCCUGGCUGCCGGCGGAACACUUCCGGAGAUCGUGACAAUCCUAUCAUAUAAAGCUCCUGAGUGA